UGGCCGGGCCCGGGCCCCCAGCGGGGAGAAAGCCGGCCAGUUCCUGGGUCGCAGGGGCCUCCAGCGUCCGAGGUCGGUGCUUCGGGCGACCUUGGGUUGCUGCUGGAACCCUGACGUGCAGCAGGCCCAGGCCACGGUUCGCGGAGAGCGUCGGGCGCUGGUCCUCAAGGUCUCCCGGCUCUGCCCUUGCAGAGCUCAGUGGGGGAGACGUGCGUGCGCUUCCCUCGGGCAGGGCCGCUGCCCUCCUCCGCCCUUCACCCCAGACACCCUGGGGCAGUGGGGCCUCCUCCCCUCCGGUUGCUUCUGCUUUUCCUAACCCAGUGCCCUUCCGAGACCACAGGAGCCUCAGUCCGGCCACUGUGGCCUCCCCGUGACCAUGACCCAGAGGUUGGACAGCCCUGCAGGGCUGGACGUUUGACUUUGGCUCAGUUCCUCCACCGUUCCCUUCAUUUAUCCUGUGCCUCUCCCAGGCCUGUGGAUUUUGCUGUGGCCCCAAGCCGGCCCGAAGGCUCCUGGAGGUGGUAGGGUCAUGGCCUGAGGCGGUGCUGGGGAGGAGAGCUCGGGCCAGGAGUUCAGGGCAGCUACAGGUGGGGGGGUGCCGAGCCACCCUCAGCCUGCCCCCUGCCUACCUCUCAGAAAGGUGUGGAGGUUCCAGCGGGGCGGGGGCUCUCUGGGGCUCCAUCCUAGUGAGUGCCCCUCUCAGCUGAGGAGGAACCGAGAGCGGCGCUGGGGCACCUGAGCCCAGGAAGGCAACAGGCCGGCCGGGACCGCGAGUGCCUGGCGGAGCAGGCGCAGCCCAGGACUCCCGGCUCCCACCUCCGGCUGUAGUCCAGGGCCAAGGCUUGUGUUCAAUCGUGUGAAUGGCCGGCGGGCCCCCUCCACGUCCCCAUCCUUCGAGGGGACCCAGGAGACCUACACAGUGGCCCACGAGGAGAAUGUCCGCUUUGUGUCCGAAGCCUGGCAGCAGGUGCAACAGCAGCUGGAUGGUGGCCCAGCCGGUGAGGGCGGGCCAAGGCCUGUGCAGUACGUGGAGAGGACCCCCAAUCCCCGGCUGCAGAACUUUGUGCCCAUUGACCUAGACGAGUGGUGGGCGCAGCAGUUCCUGGCGAGAAUCACCAGCUGUUCCUAGUGGCUGCUGGGAGGGGGCGCUGCUACACGGCUGACCUGUCGCCAGGAGAGAAGCAUGGCGCCCUGCCCACCCACUGCGCCUGGCUGGGUGCCGGCCACACCUGAAGUGCCAGCAUUUGGACUUUUGCACCUGUUUUUCCCUUGGCCCGGCUGUCCGAACCAAGCUGCCAUGGCCAAGGGCCGAACCCGUCUGACCUCAGCCCUGCUCACUUUGCCCAGGGACCAGCGACCAGCCCCUGGGGCUGGCA
RNAcentral lists this small RNA (1376 nucleotides) under Pan troglodytes (chimpanzee). Its description in RNAcentral is "processed transcript". The record is from RNAcentral. Lineage: Eukaryota; Metazoa; Chordata; Mammalia; Primates; Hominidae.